CGUUGCUUCUUUCUGUCCGAGGCUGAUUGGUUGUUUUACUAUGAAGAGGCGGGGUCUCCCGUCAGAGCGGCAAAGGCCAUUCCUCUAGCUAGCUGUCAAUUGUCAGUAAAGAGAAGAGGGUCGGGUCUUGAUUAGGUAGCGCUCGCGCCUAGGAGCUAGUGUCACGUGCAGAAGGCUGAAGAGUCACCUGAUUAGUGAGACUCAGUCUUCUGAGCCACUUCCGCCCUAACCUAGAUGCCAUGGUAACGGGCCUCGGGUGGAGGACGGGGACCCGCUAGCAGCAGCUGGGUCGGGAUUGUUAGCUUGCCAUUCCAAGCUCCUUGAAGUGUUUUCCCUAGGUGUUUAGUCAACUGAAAAGAAAUGCUUUACGGUUCAGCAGAGCCACCAUGCAGGAUGUACUGAGACCAGAGACUGGUCAUGCUUACACUACUAACUCCAACCACAAGUCCACGCCCUCCUCGAGCUCCACUAGUAUGAUGAGCCGCAAGGUGUGCCAGCUGCCCAGGAGCUGUUUUAUCUCUGCCAAGAGCUUCUGAGGCAUCAUCCCAACCCCGAGGUGCUGACACCGAAUUAAGCUGGAGAUUCUUCAGGGGUCAGGUCCUACCGGGCAUUGUGGGCCACAGUGGAGUUUGGAUUGCUUUGAGGUGAGCAAAGCAACCACCAUCAGUAAUGGGACAAGUUGAAAUCAGGUGCCACCUGAUAGGAUGUGCUGAGAGG
Molecule: long non-coding RNA, 717 nt
Organism: Heterocephalus glaber (naked mole-rat)
Lineage: Eukaryota; Metazoa; Chordata; Mammalia; Rodentia; Bathyergidae
Source: Ensembl